GGUUAAAAAGAUAUGUCCAAUUCAACUGCUGCCGAAGAAGGUCACUAGCUAAGUAGUUGGUCUGAGAUUCCAGAGUCCUGAAGGAAAAGUCUGCUUCCUUUCCCUACAAAAUGGUUUGGAAGAUGAUCCUGUUGUCCUUCAAUGACAGGGAUACAGUGAAUGAGUUUUUAGGGGAACUCCUACAGUUUAGGGGAAGAGUUUCAGUCCCUCAGGAACCACACAUGGAGCGUCCUUUCUCUGCACUUGAGUGGCAGAAAAUGAGGAAGGACUGAGAGGAGGUAGCAGUUGCCUCUACAAAACCAUGUCCCCACGUGCCCUGAACUCAGUGAAAGACCGUCCACUUGUGUAAGAAGGUAAAGGAGCUGAGUCCAGCAGUGACAAGGCCUUCUGAAUUGUAAUGAGGAGCUGCUUCUCCGGACCAGCAUAGUGUGAUCAUUGACCUAAGGCUGAAUUGAGGACAUCUGGAUUCA
This is a long non-coding RNA of Gopherus flavomarginatus (Mexican gopher tortoise), 470 nucleotides long. RefSeq lists it as uncharacterized. The record is from RefSeq and is a predicted model, not a curated record. Lineage: Eukaryota; Metazoa; Chordata; Testudines; Testudinidae. The transcript is spliced from 3 exons.